ACACAUGCAAGUCGAACGAAGUGCCGGAGCUUGCUCUGGUUCUUAGUGGCAGACGGGAGAGUAACGCGUGGGAAUUUGCCCGAUAGUACGGAAUAACAGUGGGAAACUGCUGCUAAUACCGUAUACGCCCUCCGGGGGAAAGAUUUAUCGCUAUCGGAUAAGCCCGNGUCGGAUUAGCUAGUUGGUGGGGUAAAAGCCUACCAAGGCGACGAUCCGUAGCUGGUCUGAGAGGACGACCAGCCUCACUGGGACUGAGACACGGCCCAGACUCCUACGGGAGGCAGCAGUGGGGAAUAUUGGACAAUGGGGGAAACCCUGAUCCAGCCAUGCCGCGUGAGUGACGAAGGCCUUAGGGUUGUAAAGCUCUUUCAGCGGGGAAGAUAAUGACG
RNAcentral lists this ribosomal RNA (389 nucleotides) under uncultured Alphaproteobacteria bacterium. RNAcentral describes it as "bacterial SSU rRNA". It matches the Rfam family "Bacterial small subunit ribosomal RNA", at positions 51 to 456 of the family's 1533-position model. Lineage: Bacteria; Pseudomonadati; Pseudomonadota; Alphaproteobacteria. The record is from RNAcentral.